Molecule: transfer RNA, 73 nt
Filed under: Ictidomys tridecemlineatus (thirteen-lined ground squirrel)
Lineage: Eukaryota; Metazoa; Chordata; Mammalia; Rodentia; Sciuridae
Description: Spermophilus tridecemlineatus (thirteen-lined ground squirrel) tRNA
Rfam family: tRNA
About the family: Transfer RNA (tRNA) molecules are approximately 80 nucleotides in length.
Source: Rfam by way of RNAcentral
GGGGAUGUAGCUCAAUAGAUAGAGUGUUUGCCUCGCAUGCACAAGGCCCUGGGUUCAGACCCCAGCACCACCA